RNAcentral lists this ribosomal RNA (252 nucleotides) under uncultured bacterium. RNAcentral's name for it is "partial 16S ribosomal RNA". It matches the Rfam family "Bacterial small subunit ribosomal RNA", at positions 524 to 776 of the family's 1533-position model. The record is from RNAcentral.
UACAGAGGUGGCAAGCGUUGUUCGGAAUUACUGGGCGUAAAGGGCGCGUAGGCGGCCAUCUAAGUCAGACGUGAAAUCCCCGGCUUAACCUGGGAACUGCGUCUGAUACUGGAAGGCUCGAGUUUGGGAGAGGGAUGUGGAAUUCCAGGUGUAGCGGUGAAAUGCGUAGAUAUCUGGAGGAACACCGGUGGCGAAGGCGGCAUCCUGGACCAACACUGACGCUGAGGCGCGAAAGCUAGGGGAGCAAACGGG